This 628-nucleotide long non-coding RNA is filed under the name Homo sapiens (human). Its description in RNAcentral is "HSALNT0360063". The record is from RNAcentral. Lineage: Eukaryota; Metazoa; Chordata; Mammalia; Primates; Hominidae.
UCUAAAACAAAAGCUAGGCAUUUUCUGCACCUUUGAGGAUUUACCUAGCCGGGUCCUCCAGAAGACAGAGCAAUCUACCUGUCAGGUGCCAGGACUUCCUCUCUGUUUCCGGAUCACACUCCGUGACCCCAUGAGCUCCUCAGGACAGGGAUGAUGUCACCAUCAUUUUUGUGUCUUCAACUCCUCCACCUCAUAGAUUCUCAGUGAAUGUUUGCUGAAUCAGUAGCGCCAGCUUCACAUGCUUUAGAGGCAGAAGAUACAAGCUGGAAUCUCAACUCCAGCACUUAAUAGCUUUGUGAUCUUAGCACCUAGCACCCUGCCUUAACACAGAGAAAAUGUCCACUAAAUAUUUAUGGAAUAAACAGGAAUGAAUGAAUUAAUGAAUGCACAAAUGGAUAAAGUACAUGAAGUAUUUCAAGAGUGAGAAAGCAGAUAUGAUCGUCAAUGAUGAAGCAUGCAGUAAAUAACCCUCCCUCCCUGGAAGUGAAGACAGCCUGUGGGGGAGAACUGGCUCCAUUAAAGGCUUCAAGCCACAGGAGUUGUUUUCUCCGGAGAUGAUGAACGUGGGCUGGAAAAAGAGACAAGAGUCACCUACUUCGUGCAGCUUUUUCCCCCCAAACUGCUAAAA